Lactuca sativa (garden lettuce) is the source of this 816-nucleotide long non-coding RNA. RefSeq lists it as uncharacterized. Lineage: Eukaryota; Viridiplantae; Streptophyta; Magnoliopsida; Asterales; Asteraceae. The record is from RefSeq and is a predicted model, not a curated record.
UGGAGAAGGGUACCUAAGUAAUAUAAAAUAAAGUGUAAAUAUAAAAUAUAAAUAUAUUAAUUUCUUUUUCAUUUUAUACAUGCCAAAGUUUCAUAUUUAAAUAAAACUCCCUCUUCUUACUUCUCUCUCUGUUGGUUCAUAUUGCUUAUCAUGGCGUUCUUUAGAAUUUUGAUCCAGAUCGAGUGUUGUGUAUGUCUACUAAAUUCAUUUGAUGAUUAUCUAAGCCUCAAACUCCAUAUGUUUAUAACGAGACUAUAUACAUCCUCUAACAGCCAUUUGGAUUUCAAUCUCCAACAACAAUCUUUGGGCUACUUCGUUGAAAUCACAAGGUAACCAAUUUAAACAGAGCACGUCUAGUGUAUGGAAUUUGUCAAGAAUUGUCUCCAUAGAAAUUAUGUUUACCAAGUUUAUGAAUAAAGAUGAAGAAUAAAAAGGAGUAAUGAUGAGGUUUGUAACAAUGGAAAUGGAAAGGAGCAAAAGAUGGAAGAUAAAGCUGGCCUAAUUGUUACGAUGCUUCACUCAGAAGAGUUGGGAGCUUGUAAAGAUGAGAAGGAGGUUAAAGCGUCAAGAAUUGAAAACCUCGAUUGGGGCGAGUAAUGACUAAUUAAACGGACAUUGUUUGUUAUUUCAUGAUUAAACGGUGCACUUUUACCAUUCCUACAGGUGUACAAAAAGUUAAAUAUAUGGUGUCCCUUAUAAGCAUUUACUUAGAGUAUUUUGGAUUUAGAUUAUUUCAAAAAGGAUGGGUUGUAAUCUUCUCUUAAGAUCCUAUAUGUGAAAAACAAUCUCAAAAACACUAAGACCUCUAUUUAGAUU